UGAAUAGUUUUGCUGGUAGAGCAUGAGACUCUUAAUCUCAAGGUUGCGGGUAUGAGCCCCACAACGAGCAAAA
Non-coding RNA from Podarcis lilfordi (Lilford's wall lizard), 73 nucleotides. The record is from the annotation of a GenBank genome assembly. Lineage: Eukaryota; Metazoa; Chordata; Lepidosauria; Squamata; Lacertidae.